UUGAGGAAUGACAAGGACCCAUUAUGACGAGAUGAAAGGAAAGGGGUUUACAAAUACCCAUACUUGAUAAUGACUUGAAUGAAUCAUCUGCAUAUAUAGGGGUAAUAACUAGAACGAUAAGCGAAAGAAUGCAGGAACAUAAAAGGGAUGUAAGACAAGGAAACCUAAACACCAUGCUAGCUGUUAAAACGUACAGCCAAAAUAUCAACGUAGACUGGGAGAACGUAAGACAAAUUAGACCACUUCGAAACCAAGAACAGCUGGUAAUGGCAGAAUCCUUAGAAAUAUUAAAAAGAGUGUGUAAAGAAAGAUUAAUCAACGAUAGACUAACUUGGAAGCCCCCCGCAAGCUUGGAAGUAUGUUAUAAGCACUUAUAGAAGGAUGUAUGAUAUGCGAGGAUAUAAUAGUAGGACAAGUACGAUAGGUGAUCAGAGUGAUAUGGACAGAAGUUGAUAAAUUUAAUACCAUAAUCUAAAC
RNAcentral lists this long non-coding RNA (477 nucleotides) under Androctonus crassicauda. The record is from RNAcentral. Lineage: Eukaryota; Metazoa; Arthropoda; Arachnida; Scorpiones; Buthidae.